AGCGAACGCUGGCGGCAGGCUUAACACAUGCAAGUCGAACGGGCAUCUUCGGAUGUCAGUGGCAGACGGGUGAGUAACACGUGGGAACGUACCCUUCGGUUCGGAAUAACUCAGGGAAACUUGAGCUAAUACCGGAUACGCCCUUUUGGGGAAAGGUUUACUGCCGAAGGAUCGGCCCGCGUCUGAUUAGCUUGUUGGUGGGGUAACGGCCUACCAAGGCGACGAUCAGUAGCUGGUCUGAGAGGAUGAUCAGCCACACUGGGACUGAGACACGGCCCAGACUCCUACGGGAGGCAGCAGUGGGGAAUAUGGGACACUGGGCGCAAGCCUGAGCCAGCCAUGCCGCGGGAGUGAUGAAGGCCUUAGGGUUGUAAAGCUCUUUUGCCCGGGACGAUAAUGACGGUACCGGAAGAAGAAGCCCCGGCUAACUUCGU
RNAcentral lists this ribosomal RNA (434 nucleotides) under uncultured bacterium. RNAcentral's name for it is "partial 16S ribosomal RNA". It matches the Rfam family "Bacterial small subunit ribosomal RNA", at positions 29 to 506 of the family's 1533-position model. The record is from RNAcentral.